UGGGGAAUUUUGGACAAUGGGGGCAACCCCGAUCCAGCCAUGCCGCGUGCGGGAAGAAGGCCUUCGGGUUGUAAACCGCUUUUGUCAGGGAAGAAAUCCUUUGAGCUAAUACCUCGGGGGGAUGACGGUACCUGAAGAAUAAGCACCGGCUAACUACGUGCCAGCAGCCGCGGUAAUACGUAGGGUGCGAGCGUUAAUCGGAAUUACUGGGCGUAAAGCGUGCGCAGGCGGUUAUGUAAGACAGAUGUGAAAUCCCCAGGCUCAACCUGGGAACUGCAUUUGUGACUGUAUAGCUAGAGUACGGCAGAGGGGGGUGGAAUUCCACGUGUAGCAGUGAAAUGCGUAGAGAUGUGGAGGAACACCGAUGGCGAAGGCAGCCCCCUGGGCCGAUACUGACGCUCAUGCACGAAAGCGUGGGUAGCAAACA
This 427-nucleotide ribosomal RNA is filed under the name uncultured bacterium. Its description in RNAcentral is "bacterial SSU rRNA". It matches the Rfam family "Bacterial small subunit ribosomal RNA", at positions 355 to 774 of the family's 1533-position model. The record is from RNAcentral.